GGACCCGCACAAGUAGUGGAGCAUGUGGUUUAAUUCGAAGAUACGCGCAGAACCUUACCAACACUUGACAUGUUCGUCGCGACUCUAAGAGAUUAGAGUUUUCGGUUCGGCCGGACGAAACACAGGUGCUGCAUGGCUGUCGUCAGCUCGUGUCGUGAGAUGUUGGGUUAAGUCCCGCAACGAGCGCAACCCUCACUUUUAGUUGCCAUCAUUUAGUUGGGCACUCUGAAAGAACUGCCGGUGAUAAGCUGGAGGAAGGUGGGGAUGACGUCAAGUCCUCAUGGCCCUUACGUGUUGGGCUACACACGUGCUACAAUGGCAUCUACAAUAGGAAGCAAGAUGGCGACAUCAAGCAAAUCCUAAAAAGAUGCCUCAGUUCGGAUUGCACUCUGCAACUCGAGUGCAUGAAGCUGGAAUUACUAG
This 423-nucleotide ribosomal RNA is filed under the name uncultured bacterium. Its description in RNAcentral is "bacterial SSU rRNA". It matches the Rfam family "Bacterial small subunit ribosomal RNA", at positions 917 to 1338 of the family's 1533-position model. The record is from RNAcentral.